AGAGCUUGCUCUCUGGAUCAGUGGCGAACGGGUGAGUAACACGUGAGCAACCUGCCCCGGACUCUGGGAUAACAGCUGGAAACAGCUGCUAAUACCGGAUACGAGCUGCGAAGGCAUCUUCAGCAGCUGGAAAGAAUUUCGGUCCGGGAUGGGCUCGCGGCCUAUCAGCUAGUUGGUGAGGUAAUGGCUCACCAAGGCGUCGACGGGUAGCCGGCCUGAGAGGGUGACCGGCCACACUGGGACUGAGACACGGCCCAGACUCCUACGGGAGGCAGCAGUGGGGAAUAUUGCACAAUGGGCGAAAGCCUGAUGCAGCAACGCCGCGUGAGGGAUGACGGCCUUCGGGUUGUAAACCUCUUUUAGCAGGGAAGAAGCGAAAGUGACGGUACCUGCAGAAAAAGCGCCGGCUAACUACGUGCCAGCAGCCGCGGUAAUACGUAGGGCGCAAGCGUUAUCCGGAAUUAUUGGGCGUAAAGAGCUCGUAGGCGGUUUGUCGCGUCUGCUGUGAAAACCCGAGGCUCAACCUCGGGCCUGCAGUGGGUACGGGCAGACUAGAGUGCGGUAGGGGAGAUUGGAAUUCCUGGUGUAGCGGUGGAAUGCGCAGAUAUCAGGAGGAACACCGAUGGCGAAGGCAGAUCUCUGGGCCGUAACUGACGCUGAGGAGCGAAAGGGUGGGGAGCAAACAGGCUUAGAUACCCUGGUAGUCCACCCCGUAAACGUUGGGAACUAGUUGUGGGGUCCAUUCCACGGAUUCCGUGACGCAGCUAACGCAUUAAGUUCCCCGCCUGGGGAGUACGGCCGCAAGGCUAAAACUCAAAGGAAUUGACGGGGACCCGCACAAGCGGCGGAGCAUGCGGAUUAAUUCGAUGCAACGCGAAGAACCUUACCAAGGCUUGACAUAUACGAGAACGGGCCAGAAAUGGUCAACUCUUUGGAC
Molecule: ribosomal RNA, 937 nt
Filed under: Microbacterium sp.
Lineage: Bacteria; Bacillati; Actinomycetota; Actinomycetes; Micrococcales; Microbacteriaceae
Description: bacterial SSU rRNA
Rfam family: Bacterial small subunit ribosomal RNA
Source: RNAcentral